RNAcentral lists this ribosomal RNA (460 nucleotides) under uncultured bacterium. Its description in RNAcentral is "partial 16S ribosomal RNA". It matches the Rfam family "Bacterial small subunit ribosomal RNA", at positions 338 to 795 of the family's 1533-position model. The record is from RNAcentral.
CCUACGGGAGGCAGCAGUGAGGAAUAUUGGUCAAUGGGCGUAAGCCUGAACCAGCCAAGCCGCGUGAGGGAUGAAGGUUCUAUGGAUCGUAAACCCCUUUUAUAAGGGAAUAAAGUGCGGGACGUGUCACGUUUUGUAUGUACCUUAUGAAUAAAGAACGGCUAACUCCGUGCCAGCAGCGGCGGUAAUACGGAGGUUCCGAGCGUUAUCCGGAUGUAUUGGGUUUAAAGGGUGCGUAGGCGGCCUUUUAAGUCAGCGGUGAAAGUCUGUGGCUUAACCAUAGAAUUGCCGUUGAAACUGGGAGGCUAGAGUAUGUUAGAGGCAGGUGGAAUGCGUGGUGUAGCGGUGAAAUGCUUAGAGAUCAGGCAGAACCCCGAUUGCGAAGGCGGCCAGCCGGGCCAUGACUGACGCUGAUGCACGAAAGCGUGGGGAUCAAACAGGAUUAGAUACCCCAGUAGUC